Molecule: ribosomal RNA, 382 nt
Filed under: uncultured eukaryote
Lineage: Eukaryota
Description: partial 18S ribosomal RNA
Rfam family: Eukaryotic small subunit ribosomal RNA
Source: RNAcentral
CAAUAGCGUAUAUUAAAGUUGUUGCAGUUAAAAAGCUCGUAGUUGGAUUUCUGGUGGGAGCGAUCGGUCUGGCGCUUAGCGCGAGUACUUGCAUCGUCUCCGGCCAUCCUUGGGGAGAGUCUGUCUGGCAUUAGGUUGUCGGGCAGAGGAUCCUCAUCGUUUACUGUGAAAAAAUUAGAGUGUUCAAAGCAGGCUUAUGCCGUUGAAUAUAUUAGCAUGGAAUAAUAAGAUAGGACUUUGGUACUAUUUUGUUGGUUUGCGCACCAAAGUAAUGAUUAAUAGGGACAGUUGGGGGCAUUCGUAUUCCGUUGUCAGAGGUGAAAUUCUUGGAUUUACGGAAGACGAACUACUGCGAAAGCAUUUACCAAGGAUGUUUUCAUUA